AGCUGCUGCCAACCCCAACCCGCAGCGGCACCCGGUCACAGCCCCGGCCCCACUGCUCCCGGCCGGAAUAGGGCAGAGGGAGCUGAGGGAGCUGCACUGCAGAGGGAUCCCAGACAGCCCAGGUGAUGACCUGAAAAAACCAUGUCUGAAGUUCAGGGAACGGUCGAGUUUUCUGUGGAGCUACACAAGUUCCAUAAUGUGGACCUCUUCCAGAGGGGGUAUUACCAGAUAAGAGCUGGACUGAAGAUCCCAUCCAGGAUUCCCCACAGGCUCUUUGCUACGAUUGCAGGACAGACAGGUGAUUCCAGCCUUUGCUCGGCCUGCGUCCAUGAAAACAAUGUUUACAGCAGAAUAUUUCAGAUAUUGUACAGAAAUGAAGAGAUCAUUCUGAAUGAGUCCAUGAACUUCAGAGUGCACCUGCUUCUGGAUGGAGAAAGGGUGGAAGAUGCAUUGAAUGAGGCAGAUUUUCAGCUCAAGCUGGACCUGCACUUUACUGAUAGUGAACAACAGCUGAGGGAUGUCCCAGCCGUGCCCAUGAUCAGCAGCCGCACACUGUGUCUGCACUUCCACCCCCGCAGAGGGCUGCACCACCACGUUCCUGUCAUGUUUGACUACUUCCACCUGUCCGUGGUCUCCGUCACAGUGCACGCCUCCCUGGUGGCUUUGCACCAGCCUCUCAUCAGUUUCGCUCGUCCAGGGAAAGGUUCAUGGCUUGGUAAAGGCAACCUGGAGGCAGGACAAGACCAAUCCAGUAUGUCAUUAGAAAAUCUGGUGUUUGGAGCUGGCUACUGCAGACCCACUUCUUCAGAGGGCAGCUUUUAUGUCCCAUCUGAAAACUGCAUGCAGCACGCAUACAAGUGGCAUAAGGAUCUCUGUCUUCUGCUCCUGAAUGCUCAAAGUGGUCUUCACACGUACUAUACCCUCAUAAUGAAUGAGAUUCCUGAUUUACCACAGCUGAAGAUGGAGGAGCUAUCUGUGGAAGAGACAUUGUCCCAGCUUUGUAUGGAGCUGCAGCUGCUGAGCAAUCCAGAGAAGAUAGCAGAACAGAUAAGCAAGGACCUGGCUUGGCUUUGCUCUCACCUCCUGGCCCUGUGGACCCAGUUCCUAGAGGUGGCAACGCUCCAUCCAGAAGUCACAGCUUAUCUGACUCAGGAACAUCACAUGCUAAGGGUGAGAAGAUUCUCAGAAGGCUUCUUCUACACCGAGCACCAGAAACCUGCUGUGCUCAUGUUCCAGGAAGGCCUGAUCCAGAGCCACGCACAGAUUUCCACAGAAAUUCGUAAUUCAGAUUAUUUCACCAGCAUGCCUCCGCUGCCAGCGGAAUGCCUGGACAUCGACGGGGACUGGAACACACUCCCAGUUAUCUUUGAAGAUAGGUACACAGACAUGCCUUGCAAAGAUCAGAAUUUGGAAGUUUUCUCAGAUUUUGAGGUUCCUACAAAUACUCAAAUGGAUGUAAAACUGGACAAUAAAGGCUGUGCAUCAGAUGAUGCCACUACAGUAAAGAAAGGAGACUUUGGGAAAGAUACUCCACUAAUACACACAGACAGGAUAAAUAGGAAUCCCUCAUGCCUACACAGCAGUACUGAAGCUGCUGCUAAGGGUUUUAACCAGCACUCCACAUCUCAGGUAUGUACAAUAAACAACGAAGGCCAAAGGAAACCUGAAAAUAUUUUUGUUUCAAGAGUGGAAACUAUUUCUGACUCAGAGCCAGGCAAUACAGAACAUGCGUCAGAAGACUUUAAAACAUCCGAGGAAGUUUUAUUAAAAGAUAAUAGACUUGGGACGGAUGUUAUCUGUGGAGACAUGGAAAUCAGCAAUAAGGACUCUCACAAAAGUGAGCCCAUGCUAAUUGUCAGUGCUCAGUAUGAGUGUGGAGCAUGUGGAACUGAUGGCUUGGAAGACAGGACUGAAAUGCAUGAACUAGAUGAAUUUGGUCACCCUGAAACUAAUUUCAUUUCAUCUGAGCUUGCACUGAAUGAACUGACCAGUCUUGGAAAACCAGAGGACGCAGACACCAAGGCUCAUCUCCCUGUUUUGAAAGCUUUGUCUUCACACAUCUGUGAAGUGAAAUCAGUCUCAAAGGAGCAACGAAGUGAGGAGAGUGAAGAAUUUACCCUGACAUCAGGGGUCAUAAAAAGAUCUUCCUCUAUAAUAUCUGAUUCAGGCAUUGAAAGUGAACCAAGCUCGGUGGCAUGGUCUGACGCUCGUAGCCGAGCCCUGGAGCUGCCCAGUGACAGAGAGAUCCUGCACCACUUGGUCCGGAGGCAUGCCAUCCACAGGAAUUCCCUGGAGGGUGGCCACACGGAAAGCAACACCAGCUUGCCCAGUGGUAUCCAAGCAUCGCUCACAUCCAUCAGCUCUUUGCCUUUUGAGGAAGAGGAGAGGGAAGUGGAGCUUACCAAACUGACAAAAUCUGUCUCUGCUCCGCAGAUCAGUAGCCCAGAAGAGCCCACAGAGGAGGUGGAUAUAUCAAAAUACAGUGAAGCCACCUCAGGAGAUUCAGAUCAAAACUUAAGAAGCUGCAUGGAAACAGAGGAUAAAGAUGAAAAAUUGAUAAUGGACUUUUCUGAGUGUCAAAUGACCACUGAAAGUGGACAAAUAGAACACAGAAGACAUCCCAAACCCCUCCUCAAACACAGUAGCAGUAACGCUGAGUUACAAGGGGAGGAGGAGAAAGGUUUUCCAGAGACUUGCUGUAGUUUGGAAAAUACAAGAUCACCCAUUUGUCCGAAGCAGCUCCAAGAUAAUGUCUCUGAGUGCCUGACACUGGAGAGCAAUGGUGAGUGCAGCUUAAAAACACCAAGGGCUUGUAAUUACUUGGACAAAAAUAUAGAUGAGGUUGAUACCUGCAUUGAGGAUCCAAAGGAUAAACUUAAGCCGGACAGUUUAAAAAUACAACAGGGUUCUUCCAAUAGUAGAAUUUCAGGAGAGGAGAGUUUUUCACAAAGCAUAAAGGUGGUACCAGAUUUUUGCUAUCCUUUUACAGCUCCUUCAGACACCUCCGCUGAAUUUGGCCCACUGCGAGGAGAAUGUGGCAGCUCUCUCAUUGAUGAGGGCCCAGCAGUGCAUGCAGAAGUGCAGGGGUUGCAAGAAAUUGAGCUCAAUGACUCACCUGCCUCAGCAGACCCUGUGGCAGGGUCCCACCAGGCUGAACGUCCUCAGGAGCCCAACAGCCAGGAGAAUAAACUUGUAGUGAACGGCACCGGGUUUCCUUUGGCCACGACAGAGGGAGUAGCCCUGGAAAGCAGAAAGGCUGCUGAUGUGGUUAACCUGUCCAUCUCUUGCACAGCCACCUGUCUUCCCUUUUCUUCCGUGCUCAAAGAGACCCCUGCCAUGGCGGGCUCCUCAGCAAAGCAGGCUGCGUUCCCCAUCACGCGCCAGCCGCUGGGCUCGUUUGGAGUCGUCUGUUCUAAUUCAGAUGAGAUGGAUGAAAAGACCAACGAAAGGAUGCUGAAUUUUUAUCAGGCCAAAGAAAAGUUUAAAAAAGAAAUGAAGAUUGAAGGAUUUCUGUACAGUGACUUAUCUGUACUAGCUUCUGAUAUCCCAUAUUUUCCACCAGAGGAAGAGGAAGAAAAUUUGGAAGAUGGAAUUCACCUGGUUGUCUGUGUCCAUGGAUUGGAUGGUAACAGUGCAGAUCUGCGGCUGGUAAAGACUUUUAUAGAACUGGGACUUCCUGGUGGAAAACUGGACUUCCUAAUGUCUGAAAGGAAUCAGACUGAUACUUUUGCUGAUUUUGAUACAAUGACUGACCGAUUAUUGGAUGAAAUUAUUCAGCAUAUCCAGUUGUACAACCUCUCCAUAUCCCGAAUAAGCUUUAUUGGACAUUCCCUCGGUAACGUUAUCAUUCGAUCUGUACUAACUCGCCCCAGGUUUCGCUAUUACCUCAACAAGUUACACACCUUCCUGUCCCUCUCUGGGCCUCACCUGGGAACCCUUUACAACAACAGCACUUUGGUUAGUACAGGUCUAUGGCUAAUGCAGAAGUUGAAAAAGUCAGGGUCACUUUUGCAACUGACCUUCAGGGACAACACGGAUCUGCGCAAGUGUUUCCUCUAUCAGCUCAGCCAAAAAACGGGUCUUCAGUAUUUUAAAAAUGUUGUGUUAGUGGCCUCACCCCAAGACAGAUAUGUACCUUUUCAUUCAGCAAGAAUAGAAAUGUGCAAAAAUGCACUUAAGGACAAACACACAGGUCCGGUUUAUGCAGAAAUGAUCAACAACCUGCUCCAGCCUUUGAUUGGGGCCAAGGACUGCACUCUGAUCAGAUACAACGUGUUUCAUGCUCUGCCCAACACCGCCAACACGUUGAUAGGCCGGGCUGCCCACAUUGCCGUGCUGGACUCUGAACUUUUCCUGGAGAAGUUUUUCCUCGUGGCUGGACUCAACUACUUCAAAUAGUGCCUGAAGUAUGGGGUAACAGAGGCCAACAUUUCCUUUGAGUGGAGGAGACUUCCUUAGCCAAAGGAGUGCAAUGUUAGAAAUGAGAUCAGGUGAGUCAGAGUCUAGAUAUAGUUCUGACAGACUGAGCAGAAGACAAAGAUAAAUCCUUCUCCUGUCUAGGAUGUGACAGGAAUAUACCCCACUGAGAUGGCAGUAAUGACAGAGACAUCAAAAGGACAUCUUCCAAAAUCCUAUCCAAUUCAUCAAAAUAAAUGACUCCAGAAUAUUAUGGAUUUUUGGCAAAAGUAUCAGGUCAAAACACAGAAAAGCAUAUUCCAAAACACAAAGUUCAGAAGUAAACUUCUUAAAAGUGGAACAGUUUAACCUAAAAUUUGUUUUCUUGGACUUGAAUAAUGAAGCUAUUUAUUAUUGUCUUAGACUCUGGCAUCAAUCAUCUUUAUAACUCCUUUAAAAUAUACUCAAGUCCUUAAAAAAAAAAUCAUCUUAAAUCUCUACCUUUCAAUUAUGCUUAGACAAUUUGUCACAGCAUCUGAGACAGCAGAAAAUCAAACUUUCUCUAUAUACAGAAUUACCUACAAUGAACAGUACAAGCCUUAAGUGGGAAAGAUUUGUCUGUUGGGAGAGCUUCUUUCUUGUUUAGUGAAAGGUUAUUCAGAUGAGUCUAAUUUAGCCAAUAAAGAAAGUAGGUAAAUUCUGUCCUUUUUCUUAGUCCUCUCUUCCAUGCUGCAAAUUCAGAUACUUAAAAUUAAACAUUCUAGUUUGUGUUACAAACAAAACACAUCUCGGAGGCAGGUUUUGAUUGAUGUCUUAUCUCUCCCUGUAUGCAAUGUCCAAACACAGUUACUCUGGUUUUGACACUGGAACCAUAUUCUUGGUUUAAGUAUUUUAAACCUUAAUGACACACUCUUCAAAGUGUAUUAAAAUUGUAGCUCUCAAAAUCAGACUUUGACUUUUUAAUGGUUAAAGUUAACAAAGGCAGCAGAAGUAACCCCAUUUUUAUGGUAUCUAUUCAAAUGGAACACCUUACACUGUUGGAUUAAUUUCCAGCUCGAUGGUAACACCUAAAAUUGGACCUUCACUGUUCCUCAACUGAUAGGUGGACUAGAAUUAAAUGGACAGGAGCAUAGUUCUGUGAAGAACCUUAUCCUGUGUUUCAAAGAGUUACCUUUUACUUAUUUUAUUAAAUGUUAAGAAAAUACCUCUUGGAAUUAAACCCUACUAUUUCCUGUAAAUAAUUAGCUCUGAAAAUGGUUUUCUGUAUGCACUGUUACAAUUUUUAGUUAACAAAGACAAGGCUAGAAAGCUUUUUGAAAGAAAUAAUAUGGUUUGGGGUUUUUUUCAGAUAAGCAGCUGCCAAAUACUAUUGGGCUGAGUUUCAAAUGAGUAAUUCAACUUAGGCAUUUCAAAUUUAUGGGUUUUUUAAAUCAUAAAAGUACUAUAAAAAAUAAAGAGGUAGGCCCCUGAACUUGAUAACCAUUUGUAGUCUUGCAAAGUGGAUGUAAAAUACUAGCAUUGGAUUCAUGCCCAUGUUUGUGCACACAGGCUGCAAAGCAAAACAUCAGAGAUAUAUCCUUCUCCAAGUACUUCCUUUGGGGCUGAUUGUUCAGUGCAAGCAAUAUGCAUGAUAUAAUUGGUGCAUGUAACAGUAACUACAACAUUCUGCAAAUUUGAAUUUAUACAGUUAACUUAAUAUUGAGGCUGAACUUUGCAGAUGAGUAGUCUAUGGUAUUUUUAAUUAUAACCAUUUCUAUGGUAUGAAUAUGAGUACAGCUGAUUCUGUCAUGUGAAACUAGAGGUUGGACUUUUAAAUGAGACAUUAUUAUAUUUGAUUGAGGCAGUUAUGUUUCUCAAGAAUUAUUUCAAAUCAGAUAGAAGAGACAAUAAUUAGAGGUUGAGAGCUUCAAAAAUCUGUACUUUUUUUUUUUUUUAAGACACCAAGAUUUACAACACAUGCUCUGUCUGCCUCUGUCUAAUUUACUUCCCUUUCCCUAAUGAACAUUUGUCAACUGCCACACACUUCAAUUUUCUUUAACUAUGUCUUUCAAGAUUUAAGUGAGACUUACAUCAAAAACCCAAAACUAAUCUCACUAAGUGGAAACAUGUGAAGUUGAGUCAAUUCUGUGAUAUUUUAAGGAAAAUGGAAAUGCAAAUCAGUUUUCUUGGAAUGUAGGUUCAGACUCAACAGCAUUCACAAAGUCUUUAUUAAAGGUCUGAUCCUGAGAAAUGCUGGUCAAAUGCACUCUUGGUAUAAUGGACCAAAUCUGCAAGUGGAUUGACCUGGUGAAGAGCUUUAUACAGUCACAAGAUCUUAACAAAUGGCAACCAGCAGCAUCCAUGGCAUCUCAAAGUCAGACUACCACAAGAUAAUAAAUGUUCUGGUUUCUUUUUAAGGCCAAUUUUCCAGUUGGUCAAAUGUGUUUUAAAAGUAACAUCUUUCAAAACAAAUGCAGACCUCUCCAAGGGAUCAAGUCAAUGGAUUACUGUGGACAGAUCCUUAUAGGUUAAGGGAAAGGGCUUUUAAUUUCUAAAUCUACUACUUUGAAUCAUGACCAUACAAAGAAGAAAUCUGACAUGGUCCCUUGUAUAAAUAAGAUCAUGAAUGUAAAGCCUAUAAUGCCACUGUGAAAUUUUAAUGCUUAUUUAUUAUGGUUAUGAUGAAACCUGUAUAAUAAGAUGAUGAU
Hirundo rustica (Barn swallow) is the source of this 7082-nucleotide RNA transcript. It is a transcript of the gene named family with sequence similarity 135 member B, with no coding region annotated. The record is from RefSeq and is a predicted model, not a curated record. The transcript has 21 exons. Lineage: Eukaryota; Metazoa; Chordata; Aves; Passeriformes; Hirundinidae.